CGAGACCUCAGGUCAGACGGGCUACCCGCUGAGUUUAAGCAUAUCAUUGAG
Molecule: ribosomal RNA, 51 nt
Filed under: Lonchocarpus chiricanus
Lineage: Eukaryota; Viridiplantae; Streptophyta; Magnoliopsida; Fabales; Fabaceae
Description: partial 28S ribosomal RNA
Source: RNAcentral